UGGGGGGGCUAGGAUGAAAAAUUUUGUCCUGCAUUAUUUUUUAGUUGUAAUCUCUGUCCUGCCUUUUUAUUUUUCACUCUGUUCGGUCCUGCCUUUUUUUGUUUGUUAAUCCUGACUUUUUUUUUACCUAAAUUGUCGUCCUGACUUUUUUUUUUUUGCAAGUGUCUCAUCCUGCCUUUUUUUUUUACUCAAAACUCCUGUCCUGCCUAUUUUUUUCAAAUUUCAUCCUAGCCCCCCCUAAAAAUCAAAUGGUAGCUCCCUAAGGAAGAAAUUAUUAAAGAUUAGGAUAUCAAUCUUUUAUGCUGAAAGUUGAUAAAAAAAAAUACAGCUCUAAAGGAGGUAAGAAAGGUUAGUGAUGUUUAUGGAUUUUUAUUUAAAUUUAACAACAGAUAUGUUGCUUAGUCUUUAGUUUCUAUGUUUUUGUCUUGUGUACUAUUAUUUAUCUUUUUGGGACAUGGCGAUGUCAGUUUUUUUUAUCUACGAGUUUGAAUGACCCUCUGGUAUCAUUCGCCCCUCUUUUACAAGAUUUCGUAUAUUUUAUCAUUAUCUUUAUAGAAAAAUGUUGUUUGAAAUCCUGCUUGGAGUUGUGACAAUCACCAUCUUUAUAUUAUACGGUUACAUCACAAAAGAAAAUCUAAAAAAUCUGCCACCUGGACCGAAAGGGGUAUUUUGGUUCGGAUUAAAGAUAGAUAUCCCGAACAUGCAUUUAGACUUUACUAAAUGGUGGAAAGUUUUCGGAGAUGUAUUUGAAGUGAA
This 756-nucleotide long non-coding RNA is filed under the name Mytilus galloprovincialis (Mediterranean mussel). The record is from RNAcentral. Lineage: Eukaryota; Metazoa; Mollusca; Bivalvia; Mytilida; Mytilidae.